AGGUAGCGCUGAUUCCAGUUUACGUAUUGCUAACAGAGGGUUUGAUUAUGGCUCAGAUUGAACGCUGGCGGGAUGUACUUUACACAUGCAAGUCGAACGGCAGCACGGACUUCGGUCUGGUGGCGAGUGGCGAACAGGUGAGUAAUGCUCGGAACGUGCCUAGUAGCGGGGGAUAACUACGCGAAAGCGUAGCUAAUGCCGCAUACGCCCUUCGGGGGAAGCGGGGGGACCUUCGGGCCUCGCACUAUUAGAGCUGGCCGAUAUCGGAUUAGCUAGUUGGUGGGGUAACGGCUCGCAAGGCGACUAGUCGUAGCUGGUUUGAAGGACGACCAGCCACACUGGGACUGAGACACGGCCCAGACUCCUACGGGAGCAGCAGUGGGGGGAAUUUUGGACAAUGGGGAAACCCUGAUCCAGCCAUCCCGCAUGUGCGAUGAAGGCCUUCAGUUUGCAAGCACUUUUGGCAGGAAAGAAACGGCGGGAUAAUACCCCGUGCAGCUGACGGUACUAUAGAAUAGCACAAAGCUAACUACGUGCCAGCAGCAUGAUGACGUAGAGGUGCAAGCGUUAAUCAGAAUUACUGAAUUUGUUAAAAGCGUGCAUGACAGUUGGAAAAGAAAGAUGUGAAAUCCAGAGCUUAACUUUGGAACUGCAUUUUUAACUACCGAGCUAGAGUGUGUCAGAGGGAGGUGGAAUUCCGUAAUGUAACAGUGAAAUGCAUCAGAUAUGCGGAGGAACACCAAUCAAUGAAGAACUAGCCUCUGGGAUAACUUACUGACGCUCAUGCAAAGCGUAGAACAUUGAUUGAAUACAAGUAGUCCGCCCUAAACGAUGUCAACUAGCUGUUGGGGCCUUCGGGCCUUGAAGCGUACCUUCGCCGCGUGGAAGUUGACCCGCCUCAGGGGAGUACGGUCGCAAGAUUAAAAACUCGAAAAUUGACAGGGACUACACAGCGGUGGAUGAUGUGGAUUAAUUCGAUGCAACGCGAAAAGUACCCUACCACUCGACAUGUCUGGAAUCCCGAAAGAGAUUUGGGAGUGCUCGCAAGAGAACCGGAACUUACAGGUGCUGCAUGGCUGUCGUCAGAAAGCAUAAUAUAGUGAGAUGUUGGGUUAAGUCCCGCAACGAGCACAGCCCGCCAAUAUUAGUUGCUACGAAAGGGCACUCUAAUGGGACUGCCGGUGACAGGAGGGAAGGUGGGGAUGACGUCAGUCCUCAUGGCUUAUAUAGGUGGGGCUUCCCGUCAUACAAUGGUCGGGACAGAGGGGUCGCCCAACCCGCGAGGAAUAAUCCAGAAACCCGAUCGUAGUCCGGAUCGCAGUCUGCAACUCGACUGCUGAAGUCCAGGAAUCGCUAGUAAUCGCGGAUCAACGCAUCGCAGGUAGGAAUACGUUCCACGGGUCUUGUACACACCGCCGUCACACCAUGGGAGUGGGUUUUACCAAGUAGUUAGCCUAACCAUCAGGAGGGCGAUUACCACGGUAGGAUUCAUGACUGGAAUUGAGUCAUUAACAAGGUAA
This 1520-nucleotide ribosomal RNA is filed under the name uncultured Bordetella sp. Its description in RNAcentral is "partial 16S-23S ribosomal RNA intergenic spacer". It matches the Rfam family "Bacterial small subunit ribosomal RNA". The record is from RNAcentral. Lineage: Bacteria; Pseudomonadati; Pseudomonadota; Betaproteobacteria; Burkholderiales; Alcaligenaceae.